This 466-nucleotide ribosomal RNA is filed under the name uncultured bacterium. RNAcentral describes it as "partial 16S ribosomal RNA". It matches the Rfam family "Bacterial small subunit ribosomal RNA", at positions 28 to 507 of the family's 1533-position model. The record is from RNAcentral.
GACGAACGCUGGCGGCGUGCUUAACACAUGCAAGUCGAACGGAAAGGCCCUGCUUGCAGGGUACUCGAGUGGCGAACGGGUGAGUAACACGUGGGUGAUCUGCCCUGCACUUCGGGAUAAGCUUGGGAAACUGGGUCUAAUACCGGAUAGGAACCAUCUUUAGUGUGGUGGUUGGAAAGUUUUUUCGGUGUAGGAUGAGCUCGCGGCCUAUCAGCUUGUUGGUGGGGUAAUGGCCUACCAAGGCGGCGACGGGUAGCCGGCCUGAGAGGGUGUACGGCCACAUUGGGACUGAGAUACGGCCCAGACUCCUACGGGAGGCAGCAGGGGGGAAUAUUGCACAAUGGGCGCAAGCCUGAUGCAGCGACGCCGCGUGGGGGAUGAAGGCCUUCGGGUUGUAAACUCCUUUCGCUAGGGACGAAGCUUUGUUGUGACGGUACCUAGAUAAGAAGCACCGGCUAACUACGUG